CUUAGCCUUAAACCCAGAUGUACUAUUACAUACACAUCCGCCCGGGUACUACGAGCACAGCUUAAAACCCAAAGGACUUGGCGGUGUCUCAGACCCACCUAGAGGAGCCUGUUCUAAAACCGAUACCCCCCGUUAAACCUCACCACUCUUUGUUAUCCCCGCCUAUAUACCGCCGUCGUCAGCUUACCCUAUGAAGGCCUAGCAGUAAGCAAAAUUGGCCCACCCAAAAACGUCAGGUCGAGGUGUAGCGUAUGGAGUGGGAAGAAAUGGGCUACAUUUUCUACAUCUAGAAUACAAACGAAUGGCACCAUGAAAAGAUGCCUGAAGGUGGAUUUAGUAGUAAAAAGCAAAUAGAGAGUUCUUUUGAAUUAGGCUCUGAGACGCGCAC
This 388-nucleotide ribosomal RNA is filed under the name Noturus taylori (Caddo madtom). RNAcentral's name for it is "partial 12S ribosomal RNA". It matches the Rfam family "Bacterial small subunit ribosomal RNA", at positions 795 to 1386 of the family's 1533-position model. The record is from RNAcentral. Lineage: Eukaryota; Metazoa; Chordata; Actinopteri; Siluriformes; Ictaluridae.